RNAcentral lists this ribosomal RNA (253 nucleotides) under uncultured bacterium. RNAcentral's name for it is "partial 16S ribosomal RNA". It matches the Rfam family "Bacterial small subunit ribosomal RNA", at positions 524 to 776 of the family's 1533-position model. The record is from RNAcentral.
GACGAACCGUGCGAACGUUAUUCGGAAUCACUGGGCUUAAAGGGUGCGUAGGCGGCGAGGAGGGUGGGGUGUGAAAUCCCUCGGCUUAACCGAGGAAUUGCGCUCCAAACCGCCUUGCUGGAGUGAGACAGAGGUGAGCGGAACUAAUGGUGGAGCGGUGAAAUGCGUUGAUAUCAUUAGGAACACCAGAGGCGAAGGCGGCUCACUGGGUCUCAACUGACGCUGAUGCACGAAAGCUAGGGUAGCGAACGGG